UGGACCCUAGUGGCGGACGGGUGAGUAACGCGUGGGUAACCUGCCCCAUACCGGGGGAUAACACUUAGAAAUAGGUGCUAAUACCGCAUAAGCGCACGGUACUGCAUGGUCCAGUGUGAAAAACUCCGGUGGUAUGGGAUGGACCCGCGUCUGAUUAGCUUGUUGGCGGGGUAACGGCCCACCAAGGCGACGAUCAGUAGCCGGCCUGAGAGGGUGGACGGCCACAUUGGGACUGAGACACGGCCCAAACUCCUACGGAAGGCAGCAG
RNAcentral lists this ribosomal RNA (268 nucleotides) under uncultured bacterium. RNAcentral describes it as "partial 16S ribosomal RNA". It matches the Rfam family "Bacterial small subunit ribosomal RNA", at positions 86 to 354 of the family's 1533-position model. The record is from RNAcentral.